This 201-nucleotide long non-coding RNA is filed under the name Panicum hallii. RNAcentral's name for it is "long non-coding RNA (PHAL_LNC000225)". Lineage: Eukaryota; Viridiplantae; Streptophyta; Magnoliopsida; Poales; Poaceae. The record is from RNAcentral.
GAAUUUAACAUGAUAUACCAAUUCAAUAUUUGGUUGUGCACACACUCAAAUUGAAAUUGAUCCAUCUUCGUCUCCACUGCGCCCAACCCCAUCGUCGCUCCUCCUCCCAUCACCAGCACCAUUCAUAGUCCCUCCCACUCCUCAUCCGUGAGCUAGCCCCAUCGCUGCUCCUCCUCCGUGAGCCAGCUCCAUCGCUCCUCC